Octodon degus (degu) is the source of this 136-nucleotide small nucleolar RNA. The record is from Ensembl. Lineage: Eukaryota; Metazoa; Chordata; Mammalia; Rodentia; Octodontidae.
AUGACAAUUUAUUUAUUAAAGAUGACAAAGAUGGUGUGGCAGGAGCUAAGGGAACCAGGUUUGCUAAAGUAAUAGUGGUGAUAGAAUGUACUAGCCUCAGAAGCUCCUGAGGUGCCCUUUCUGUCCUCACACAGUG